GCAGUUGGAGCACAGUUGGUAGAGUGCUUGUUUAGCAUGCAAGAAGUCCUGGGUUCCAUCCCCAGCGCUGUA
This is a non-coding RNA of Mus musculus (house mouse), 72 nucleotides long. NCBI's taxonomy places the organism in Eukaryota, Metazoa, Chordata, Mammalia, Rodentia, Muridae. The record is from Rfam.